GCUGAUAUGGCUCAGGAGGUAGAGCACAUCCUUGGUAAGGAUGAGGUCCCGGGUUCGAGUCCCGGUAUCAGCUCCA
Molecule: transfer RNA, 76 nt
Filed under: Candidatus Stercoripulliclostridium merdipullorum
Lineage: Bacteria; Bacillati; Bacillota; Clostridia; Eubacteriales
Description: tRNA-Thr
Rfam family: tRNA
About the family: Transfer RNA (tRNA) molecules are approximately 80 nucleotides in length. Their secondary structure includes four short double-helical elements and three loops (D, anti-codon, and T loops).
Source: RNAcentral